UGCCAGACUCCUACGGGAGGCAGCAGUGGGGAAUAUUGGACAAUGGGGGGAACCCUGAUCCAGCGACGCCGCGUGAGUGAAGAAGUAUUUCGGUAUGUAAAGCUCUAUCAGCAGGGAAGAAAGAAAUGACGGUACCUGACUAAGAAGCCCCGGCUAACUACGUGCCAGCAGCCGCGGUAAUACGUAGGGGGCAAGCGUUAUCCGGAUUCACUGGGUGUAAAGGGAGCGUAGGCGGCACGGCAAGCCUGAUGUGAAAGCCCGCGGCCCAACCGCGGGACUGCAUUGGGAACUACCGGGCUGGAGUGCCGGAGAGGUAGGCGGAAUUCCUAGUGUAGCGGUGAAAUGCGUAGAUAUUAGGAGGAACACCAGUGGCGAAGGCGGCCUACUGGACGGUGACUGACGCUGAGGCUCGAAAGCGUGGGGAGCAAACAGGAUUAGAUACCCGCGUA
RNAcentral lists this ribosomal RNA (449 nucleotides) under uncultured bacterium. RNAcentral's name for it is "partial 16S ribosomal RNA". It matches the Rfam family "Bacterial small subunit ribosomal RNA", at positions 329 to 792 of the family's 1533-position model. The record is from RNAcentral.